CCACCGGCCGCGCCGAGCCUCGUUCCGCCGGUGGGAACGACAAGCAAUCUAGGAACGAGGACGGGGGACCCAACCUCAUCCCCUGAGACCGGACACCACACCAGGUGUCCUCGGGGUUAAGUCCCGGAAGUCGCGGCAACCGCCACGACAACCGGGGCCGAGCACCUCUCGCUCGAACCCGACAGCUGACUUCGUAGGCGCGUGGAGAGAGGAAAU
This 216-nucleotide small RNA is filed under the name Gordonia terrae. RNAcentral's name for it is "c-di-AMP sequence". It matches the Rfam family "c-di-AMP riboswitch aptamer (ydaO/yuaA leader)". From Rfam's summary of the family: This family represents a conserved RNA structure found upstream of the ydaO and yuaA genes in Bacillus subtilis and related genes in other bacteria. The ydaO/yuaA element is thought to act as a genetic "off" switch for the ydaO and yuaA genes in its native state. It is believed that the element may be triggered during osmotic shock leading to activation of ydaO, a predicted amino acid transporter gene, and members of the yuaA-yubG operon which code for KtrA and KtrB K+ transporters. Lineage: Bacteria; Bacillati; Actinomycetota; Actinomycetes; Mycobacteriales; Gordoniaceae. The record is from RNAcentral.